GGUGAGGUGGCCGAGUUGGUUAUGGCGCCAGGUUAAGGUUACCUUAAUAUCUGAUUCCUGGUGGGGCAACCCGCGCGAGUUCGAGUCUCGUCCUCAUCA
Molecule: non-coding RNA, 99 nt
Organism: Phyllosticta citribraziliensis
Lineage: Eukaryota; Fungi; Ascomycota; Dothideomycetes; Botryosphaeriales; Phyllostictaceae
Source: the annotation of a GenBank genome assembly